ACUCCUACGGGAGGCAGCAGUAGGGAAUCUUCCACAAUGGGCGCAAGCCUGAUGGAGCAACACCGCGUGAGUGAAGAAGGGUUUCGGCUCGUAAAGCUCUGUUGUUAAAGAAGAACACGUAUGAGAGUAACUGUUCAUACGUUGACGGUAUUUAACCAGAAAGUCACGGCUAACUACGUGCCAGCAGCCGCGGUAAUACGUAGGUGGCAAGCGUUAUCCGGAUUUAUUGGGCGUAAAGAGAGUGCAGGCGGUUUUCUAAGUCUGAUGUGAAAGCCUUCGGCUUAACCGGAGAAGUGCAUCGGAAACUGGAUAACUUGAGUGCAGAAGAGGUAGUGGAACUCCAUGUGUAGCGGUGGAAUGCGUAGAUAUAUGGAAGAACACCAGUGGCGAAGGCGGCUACCUGGUCUGCAACUGACGCUGAGACUCGAAAG
RNAcentral lists this ribosomal RNA (431 nucleotides) under uncultured bacterium. Its description in RNAcentral is "bacterial SSU rRNA". It matches the Rfam family "Bacterial small subunit ribosomal RNA", at positions 335 to 759 of the family's 1533-position model. The record is from RNAcentral.